CACCGCGGUUAUACGAGAGACCCUAAUUAAUAGCUACGGCGUAAAGAGUGGUUUAGGGUAAAAAUUAAUAAAGCCGAAGAUUCUCCCGGCCGUUGAACGCACUCUGAGAGUAUGAAGCCCCAUUACGAAAGUAGCUUUACCAAUAAUUUCCUGACCCCACGAAAGCUAAGAAA
This 173-nucleotide ribosomal RNA is filed under the name Charax gibbosus. RNAcentral describes it as "partial 12S rRNA". Lineage: Eukaryota; Metazoa; Chordata; Actinopteri; Characiformes; Characidae. The record is from RNAcentral. RNAcentral also lists the same sequence under 3 other names.